This 337-nucleotide long non-coding RNA is filed under the name Helianthus annuus (common sunflower). RNAcentral's name for it is "sRNA HanXRQr2_Chr12g0523241". The record is from RNAcentral. Lineage: Eukaryota; Viridiplantae; Streptophyta; Magnoliopsida; Asterales; Asteraceae.
UUCAGUAAUCGCAAAUAAUGUUUCAUAGGUGGCCCAAUUUGAUCGGAUGUGAUAUCGGAAUGCUGUAAAAGACGAAAGUAAAGUUAACAGUUUUGCUGGGUAGUGGCUGCAAUAUUAUAUGCAUGCAGAUAAGAGCGUGAUUCAUGUUUUCCACUGAUGAGUUACCGUCGUGUGUGAAUCUACCUUUGCUCCUCAAAGCAAAUCCGAUGGGAUCAAGAUUGAACUAAUAGUUUGGCGAACCAGCGUGUGAACCAGUGUGUGAAGCUACCUUUAGUUUCUAAACUUUGUAACAAGUUAUUUUGUAAUAACUCGUACCUUUUCCUAGUUUACUUGUAAG